RNAcentral lists this ribosomal RNA (445 nucleotides) under uncultured bacterium. RNAcentral's name for it is "partial 16S ribosomal RNA". It matches the Rfam family "Bacterial small subunit ribosomal RNA", at positions 354 to 796 of the family's 1533-position model. The record is from RNAcentral.
GUGAGGAAUAUUGCGCAAUGGAGGCAACUCUGACGCAGCCAUGCCGCGUGCAGGAAGAAGGCGCUACGCGUUGUAAACUGCUUUUAACCGGGAAGAAACCCCAGGACGUGUCCUGGGUUGACGGUACCGGAGGAAUAAGCACCGGCUAACUUCGUGCCAGCAGCCGCGGUAAUACGAAGGGUGCAAGCGUUAUCCGGAUUCAUUGGGUUUAUAGGGUGCGUAGGCGGAGCGUUAAGUCAGUGGUGAAAUCCUGCAGCUUAACUGUAGACUUGCCAUUGAUACUGGCGCUCUUGAGUGCGCUUGAAGUGGGCGGAAUGUGCCGUGUAGCGGUGAAAUGCUUAGGUAUGGCACAGAACACCAAUUGCGAAGGCAGCUCACUAAGGCGAUACUGACGCUGAGGCACGAAAGCGUGGGGAUCGAACAGGAUUAGAUACCCGAGUAGUCC